This 413-nucleotide ribosomal RNA is filed under the name uncultured Alteromonadales bacterium. RNAcentral describes it as "bacterial SSU rRNA". It matches the Rfam family "Bacterial small subunit ribosomal RNA", at positions 31 to 448 of the family's 1533-position model. The record is from RNAcentral. Lineage: Bacteria; Pseudomonadati; Pseudomonadota; Gammaproteobacteria; Alteromonadales.
GAACGCUGGCGGCAGGCCUAACACAUGCAAGUCGAGCGGUAACAGGUGUAGCUUGCUANCCGCUGACGAGCGGCGGACGGGUGAGUAAUGCAUAGGAAUCUGCCCGGUAGUGGGGGAUAACCUGGGGAAACCCAGGCUAAUACCGCAUACGUCCUACGGGAGAAAGGGGGCUUCGGCUCCCGCUAUUGGAUGAGCCUAUGUCGGAUUAGCUGGUUGGUGAGGUAACGGCUCACCAAGGCGACGAUCCGUAGCUGGUCUGAGAGGAUGAUCAGCCACAUCGGGACUGAGACACGGCCCGAACUCCUACGGGAGGCAGCAGUGGGGAAUAUUGGACAAUGGGGGCAACCCUGAUCCAGCCAUGCCGCGUGUGUGAAGAAGGCCCUCGGGUUGUAAAGCACUUUCAGCGAGGAAGA